Long non-coding RNA from Lucilia cuprina (Australian sheep blowfly), 299 nucleotides. RefSeq lists it as uncharacterized. The transcript has 2 exons. The record is from RefSeq and is a predicted model, not a curated record. Lineage: Eukaryota; Metazoa; Arthropoda; Insecta; Diptera; Calliphoridae.
CUGCGAAAGCCAAAGAUCAAGAAGCGAAAAAAUAAAAAAUUACAAAGUCUUUAAAUUAUUAAAAAUAAGGAGAAUUAUUAUAAACUAAAUUUUAAAAAAGUUCAGGAAGUGGAUCAGAAGAUAAACAAUUCGGAGUUUAAUCAAUCAAUGACAACUUAUUUCCACAAAUUAAUAGGAGCAUCAGAGGACUUAAGAUUCUGCGAGAUAUGUAAAAUGGUGAAAAGACUGGUUAUUUAUGUAUAUGAUUACUAUAUUAAUAAAAUUAAAAAUAUAUACCUAUAUAUUAAAAUAUCAAUAAA